AAUUUUUAAGUUAACACACAAUCUUAAGUUUCUGAGGCCUGGAGUCUCCACAGCAUUUCAGAAAUGGAUGUAUUGAAUGAAGUCAGCCCAGCUCAUGACCACCAGAAAAAUAGGAUUCCCACUCGAAACAGAAAGUGACCUUUAAGCUCUUUUGUUGUUAUUUUUCAAAAUAUGUUUGAAAUCAAGAAACAAAUUUUCUUAACACAAAAAAGCAUGUUUUUUCCACCAAGUCAAAAAUAGGAUUUUAAAGGAAAUGGAAUUCUUGACUGUUAAAUACACACAUGGAAAAUUUGGAGUUAUACUUUUGAAUUUAAGAAGUUAAGAGAAAUGUCGGCAUGUCCUUCAGGAAGUCUUGAGCUCUGAGAGCAAAUGGAAAAACUUAAGCAACGUUUAUGAUGAAGCUUUUUUCCUGAGGCCUGGACCUUCCGCUAGUAGCUUCUCACCUAGGUGCCAUAAUGAAAUUUACUGGGAAAGUCACCAACGGUAGUUUCCUGGCAGAACCGGCACAGCUGUGUGGCUGUUCCUUUGAAAAUUGCUAGACCAAAUGUGCACGGAGAAUAAUGAACCGCAGGAUGAGCUGAGUGUGAUUUGUGGAGAAGGUGCAGUUAAGGAAGCUGUGAUCUGAGCAGAGACGAGAAAUGCUCCAAUUCCAUGAUCCCCAGAGUCCUUGAGACCCUUUCAGGAGAUGCACGGGGUCAGAACUCUCCUAAGACUAAGAUAGUGUUUUGGUCUGAUUCUCUCACGAGUAUACAACUGCGUUUUCCAGAGGCCGGGUGACGUGGUAGCACAGCAGACUGAAUGCAGGAGCAGAUAUGAAAAUCUGACUCUUCCAUUUAGCCAGCCAUUAAAGAGAUUUGCCAAAAUAAAAACCAAGGAAGAAAGGGAGGAAGGAGAAAAAAGAUGCCCCAACGAAUAGUGCCUGUCCUGGGGCAGAACUGGGCCAAUGCACAGCUGACUCUCAGACCCCACCACCUUUCCUCAAGACCACGCACUGAAUUCUCAACAAACGUGUCUCAUUUUGGAAACAAUUUACUCUGCCACGCAAAUGAAAGGGACUUAGUGGAAUGGCAUCCGAAGGAUGAGUUGGGGCUCUCCAGGGAGAGAAAUGGAGCGAGAACAAAUGCUUAGAGGUGGGAUCAUACCUCCUGUUCUCAGAGAACUCCAGUAGCCUGACGGUGCAAGAACGAAGGGCACACACUGAGCAGUGAGGAGAAGAAGUUGGACCAUUAGGGUGGGGCCCAAGAGGGAUCUUGAGACUUAUACUAACAGUCGUUUGCCUUUAUCUCAGGGCAGCAGUGAGCCUUUCAGUGACUCUGAGCACAGUGUUGAGGUAUGUGAUCUGAGCUGAGAAAGAUGGCGGAGGGGAGAUGGGCUGGAGAGGACAAAUCAGGAGCAGGGUCUGGGGGGGCCGAGUGUCAGGAGGUCCUGCUCUUCCAGAACUUCCCCCAGCCAAUGAGACCUGAAGCUCCUGGUUUAUCCCAGCCAACUGCAAACAUUUUACACUGUAUGCCAUUUUGAGAAACAUUAAGAUCUCACACCCUUUGAACAUCCCAGAAAUUUCAAUAUAAAUUCCCUUUGAUGAAAACCAAAUCAAAGCAAUUCCUAAUGAAGAAUAUCUCUUCAACUCUACCCUUUCCAGUCUCUGAUAGACUGUCCUUCCUGCCUCCUUACUCCUACUACCUAGUCAACUGGGAAUCAUUAUGCUACAGCAAACCUAAGAGGAAAUGCCACUUAAAAGGUCACCUGGGCCAUGAGGGUCACUUUAGACACGUCUUGUUUGGACUAGAGCCUCCCUGGGCUCUCAGAACUGUCGCAGGCCCUGGCAAGCCCCCAUGCUAGCAAUGACUUCCAUUCGUUCUGGAUAUAAGGGCUGUCAGCUUAGGGAACGUACAUACCUGACCAGCUGGGUUCUAUCUGCUUUGAAGCUGCCCCUGCCUCUCUCCUCUCCAUUGUUUCCCUAGUGUACCUGUCCAUGAGAAUCACCUGGGGGGCGUGUGAAUCACGGAGAGCCCCGGGCAUCACUCUGGAGCUGCUGAAUCAGGAAUCAGAGCCAGCACCUGGAAGCUGUCUGCUUAGCUCGUGCUCCAGGUGAUUCUUAGGACCAGGCACGUUUGGGAAAGGCUGUGAAGACUGCCUGUUCUGCUGGCAACUGUGGCUGCCACCCUGAGAGGAAGAAGAGAGUCAUAGCCCAGCAGAUGCCCGAGCCUCUCUCCGGGAUGGUAACCGGCUGCGUGUCCCUGAGACGGGACAAGUGGGCCCACGCAGGCUUCCGCAGCACUGAACCAGACCCAGGCCUAAAGGGCGCUCAUCCCUGGCAGCUUCCUGCUGCCCGUCUUUCCCUCCCCCCACCCCACCACCCCUGGAUAGGCAGCCAGCAGCUCAGCAACAGGGGCCUGUGGGGUUCUCAUCUCCAUCCAGCUGACACCUGAAAGCCGGGAUCCACGGAGCCAGGAGAAGAACA
Molecule: long non-coding RNA, 2461 nt
Organism: Aethalodelphis obliquidens (Pacific white-sided dolphin)
Lineage: Eukaryota; Metazoa; Chordata; Mammalia; Artiodactyla; Delphinidae
Exons: 2
Source: RefSeq, a predicted model, not a curated record